CGAAAGCCUGACGGAGCAAGACCGCGUGAGGGAGGAAGGCUCUAGGGUUGUAAACCUCUUUUAUCAGGGAAGAAGCUCUGACGGUACCUGAGGAAUCAGCAUCGGCUAACUCCGUGCCAGCAGCCGCGGUAAUACGGAGGAUGCAAGCAUUAUCCGGAAUCAUUGGGCGUAAAGCGUCCGCAGGUGGGAGUUCAAGUCGAUUGUCAAAGGCAGUAGCUUAACUACUGAAAGGCAGUGGAAACUGAACAACUAGAGUGCGGUAGGGGUAGAGGGAAUUCCCGGUGUAGCGGUGAAAUGCGUAGAGAUCGGGAAGAACACCAGUGGCGAAAGCGCUCUGCUGGACCGGCACUGACACUGAGGGACGAAAGCUAGGGGAGCA
This 379-nucleotide ribosomal RNA is filed under the name uncultured cyanobacterium. RNAcentral's name for it is "bacterial SSU rRNA". It matches the Rfam family "Bacterial small subunit ribosomal RNA", at positions 376 to 770 of the family's 1533-position model. The record is from RNAcentral. Lineage: Bacteria; Bacillati; Cyanobacteriota.